RNAcentral lists this unclassified non-coding RNA (1838 nucleotides) under Daphnia pulex (common water flea). RNAcentral describes it as "uncharacterized LOC124194776, transcript variant X1". The record is from RNAcentral. Lineage: Eukaryota; Metazoa; Arthropoda; Branchiopoda; Diplostraca; Daphniidae.
AUCUUCUAGAGAACCUUGGAUAACUGAUUGGUGGUUUCAUGUGUUCUAAAUUAUAGGUUUCUAAAUUGGCAUGGCAGAAUUUAAGAUGAGUCAAGGUCCUUACAAGAAAAAGGACAAGGAUUUACAGUCAAUAAGAUUCCUUGUUUGUUAACCCAUUGGGCAUUGGCUGCUACCCUUGAAUCUCCCUGUUUGUCAACAAAAAAAAAGAGGUUCAACAUUGUGAUCAUGCUAUCAUAAUUGGAAGUUGUGCUUAUGUUGCCUAUAACAUCAAAUGUGGGGUAUCUGGUUAUCCCUCCAAAAUAAGGCAAUGACCACACGUUUAACGCGGAUCAUUCGUUUUGUCAUAGAACUUGACCCAUUCCAUCUUCUGGAUUGCUAUGAUUGGCAUUACCUGUGUAAUGACCGAGAAGAUGCGGCCUACAUGAACAUCAUUUAGGCGGCCAGCAUCAUUCGACUACCCAACCGACUUCUACUACCCUGCUCUCAACACAACACGGAGUUUAACCCUUUAGAUUUUUGGCUGUUCGCGAUGUGUGAUGGCGUUUCCUUGGACGAGAUGUUGAUUUUGGCGAAAAAAAUAUUGCGGACGAUUUUCAUGCUGUCAUUCACCGAUGCUAUUUUUGUGCGUGCCGGCCUUCCGUCGCCUCGAGGCAUGGGGGAGUUGUGCCUGUUCCAGCUACCCUGCCAGCAUAAUUCGACUUCCCAACCGACAGCCUGGUCAAAUUUCAAUUUCACUGACCCCUAUUACACCUGCACUCAACCCAGUUCUCACGGAGUUUUGAUCUUAAUGGCUGUAUCAUGGCCUCAGAUCGUUUUUCAGCUGUCAGAAGCACCAGCUUCAGUUACUUUUAUUUUGGACAUUUCUAAAGACAUUUAUCGGAGUUGCUGUUGAGAGAUCAGUCGAGUGAGCAUCUCCGACACGGCAACAACUGCAGCGCACUUUUUGUGCCUUCUGUACGAUAAGAUUUGCCUUAUCAGUUCGCAAUUAUGGGCGAGUGAGCAUCUCCGACACUUCAACAACUGCAUCCUUCGUCGUAUUACCAGUUCACAAUGAUGGUAAACUAUGCCGUCUUGCUGCACUGCUGCUAUUGGUUGUUGUAUUGCUGAUGGCUGGGUCGAUCAAGGGUGUAGCGAUGUCUCCUGGGUAUGGUGAAUAUUAAGAAACAGCAGCGAAAGAAUACUUUACCACGCCGCCUCCUUAUUAAACAACAACGUCAAUACCUACUUACUAUACGGAGGCCUUCAAGUACUACACUACCAAGGCUCCUGAGUUUAAACUGCAACCUACGCUGCUCCAUCUUAGGAAACAUGGUUUACUUGGUCGUGCUGCUGUUGGGUGUUAUAUCAUUGAUGGCUGGGUCGACCACUGGUGUGCCGAUGUCUCCUGGUUAUAGCCCCCAAGUACACCACCGAGUUGUCUGCCCCAGCCUACUUCACCGACCCGUUUAAGUACGACUCUGCUCCAAGCUACUACCAAACUGAGGCUCCUGUUUACUACACCAAGGUCACCGAGUAUUACACUACAACCAUUCUAACUAUCUUGCUGCUGUUCGUUUUGGUAUCCUUGAUGGUUGGGUCGACUACUGGUGUACCGAUGUCUCGUAGGUUUGGUAGAUACCAAACCACAACGCCGGCGUCUUACCACACAACAACCACGAAGGCAGCGGAGUCCUACACCACCAAGGCAGCGGAGUCCUACACCACCAAGGCAGCGGAGUCCUACACCAACAAAUCCAAUCCAAACUCCAACAAAUCUUAUUGGUAAAAGGCAAUUGGCUGAUCUUUGUGUAAAUGAUAGACUUUGAAGUUGAGAGAAAUAUAUUGAUACAAUUCCUAAA